AGGCAACUGGCGGAGUGGCGGCUCCACCAGAGCCUGGGAGCUGCCCCCGCCCCCGAGCCGCGAGCCCCGCGCCGGGCCGGGGAGUCCCCGGCGCCACACGCCCCCACCACCCCCAUCUUAGCGCCCCCCACCCUCUAUGGAGACAUUUCAACCAGGGAGAAGGGAAGUCCUGCCCUUGCCCCUCGCCCCCGCCCUGCUCCUCCAACAGGGGAGACUUCUGUCCAAACCUUGGAAAGAAACGAGAUGCCAGGCCUAGCGCCUUCGGGGAUCCUCUCUGGACAAGGCCACAGGGUGAAAACACCAGGUGCCUCUCCUUCCCCAGCACAGUCUGGACCUGGGCGGACUUUUUGGAAAAGCUUCUGGAUGCCACGGACUCCACGACCAACCAACUAGGUUGCUGCUGCUUGCAAACAUCGCCUCCAUUGAAGGAUUCCUGCAGCCACCAGCUCUGGAACUUUCUGGAACCAACUUCCUGGAGGCGUUUGACCGGGACCUGGGAGGGCAGCUGAGAAGUGCCUGACCAUUCUCAAGGAGCUGCGUGGAUUCCAGACAUCUCUGGGCUGGUCUCUGGACCGGGAUGGGGGACCCAGAGGUGGAGCCGAACACACAAGCAGCACUUGAGGGCUCCGAGGGUGGCAAGGAGAGAAGUUCCUGCUCUGGUACAGCCCUGGGACCUUGAAAGGGUGUGUCACUGGGGUCACUCCACUCUCUGCAUUAGGUCUCAGUCAUCCAAGACCAUCUUUCAAGGGCCGUCACUCCAAUUAUGAGUCUGGGAUUUUCUGAAAUUGAGCAUUUUGGCCAGGCUGUGGGGUCCCUCUAUGACUGCCUGUAAGACACUGCCAAGGGGACUUUCUUCCUUUCACCAGACUGAAGCUAAGAAGUGCUGGAGACAGCAGUUGCUUUAGCCACAGGCUGUGUAGACCACCUGAGGAUGACCUGGGGGUCUGUUUUGUGCACCUUGGAACCCAUCGGAUCCCUCCAAUGGCACAUUUGUCCAGAGCAAGACAAGAUCACACUUUGACAGCCCUCUGUCAAGAUCCUUGCUCCAAAUCUCCAGACUAGCAGCCAGGAGUCUCCAUGCUGUUCUGAAGAAGCAGAUUCCUCACCCACCCUUCAACUCCUUCCCAGGAGGUAAUCCUCCUCCAAAUCUCUGGAAAAGAUACACCUCCUCUUCUCUGAUAAAGGCUGGGGGGUGAUGCCCCUCCCCCAGUUUCCCAAUAAAGCUAUGCAAGACAGGAGCAAGGGAUCUCACGGCCUGUUUUUGCUACAAAAACCCUUUUUCGGAAAAAAUAAUAAAGAAAGGAAUCAGCCAAUCCCUCCUCGAUGCCAU
Molecule: long non-coding RNA, 1330 nt
Filed under: Homo sapiens (human)
Lineage: Eukaryota; Metazoa; Chordata; Mammalia; Primates; Hominidae
Description: HSALNT0177046
Source: RNAcentral